This is a non-coding RNA of Mycena rebaudengoi, 93 nucleotides long. The record is from the annotation of a GenBank genome assembly. Lineage: Eukaryota; Fungi; Basidiomycota; Agaricomycetes; Agaricales; Mycenaceae.
GGCCCGGUGGUGUAAUGGUUAACGCGCUCACUGCUUUUUCGUGUGGAGGAAUGCUUUAUGUGGGAGAUUCCUGUUCGAUUCAGGAGUGGGUCA